This 353-nucleotide long non-coding RNA is filed under the name Homo sapiens (human). RNAcentral describes it as "non-protein coding lnc-PATE4-3:1". Lineage: Eukaryota; Metazoa; Chordata; Mammalia; Primates; Hominidae. The record is from RNAcentral.
GCUGUCUUGAAUUUCUUUGAGUUUCUUCAAAAAAGCUAUUUUAAAUUCUCUGUAUGAAAGGUCGCAUAACUCUGUUUCUCCAGGAUUGGUCCUUAGUUUCUUACUUAGCUCAUUUGAGGAGGUCAUGUUUUCUUGGAUGGCCUUAAUGCUUGUAGAUGUUCAUUUGUGUCUGGGCAUUGAAGAGUUAGGUAUUUAUUGUAGUCUUCUCAGUCUGGGCUAGUUUGCACCUGUCCUUCUUGCGAAAGCUUUCCAGAUAUUAGAAAGGACUUGGAUAUUGUUAUCUAAGCUGUAUCUGCUUUAGGAGGCAUCCCAAGCACAGUACCACUUUGGUUUUUGCAGACUCGUAGAGGUUC